Molecule: ribosomal RNA, 375 nt
Filed under: uncultured archaeon
Lineage: Archaea
Description: bacterial SSU rRNA
Rfam family: Archaeal small subunit ribosomal RNA
Source: RNAcentral
UCCCAUGGCGAACUGCUCAGUAACACAUGAUCAACUUACCCUAUGGAGAGAAAUAACCUCGGGAAACUGAGGAUAAUAUCUCAUAGUUGAUUAGGCUUGGAAAAGUUUUUCAAUAAAAUGGAUAAAAUAAAUGGUUUUUAUUCGCCAUAGGAUAGGAUCGUGGUCGAUUAUGGUUGUUGGUAAGGUAACGGCUUACCAAGCCGAUAAUCGAUAGGGGCCGUGAGAGCGGGAGCCCCGAGAUGGGUACUGAGACAACGACCCAGGCCUUACGAGGCGCAGCAGGCGCGGGACCUCCGCAAUACACGAAAGUGUGACGGGGCCACCCAAAGUGUUCANAUUUGAACUGUGGUAGGUGAGUAAUAUCCCCUACUAGCA